Molecule: long non-coding RNA, 624 nt
Organism: Tupaia belangeri chinensis (Chinese tree shrew)
Lineage: Eukaryota; Metazoa; Chordata; Mammalia; Scandentia; Tupaiidae
Exons: 4
Source: RefSeq, a predicted model, not a curated record
AGAUUGAACAAAUAUGAAAAUGCAAACCAUGUAUUCUUCUUCCUUUGUUUCCUGCAUUUCUGCAACUGCUGCCUCUCAUCACAUUCAGAACAUUCUCUGUGGUUCAUGACCUUGAAGACCAAAACUGGAUUUGUAGAAAAAUGGAACGCAAAUAAUGCUGCUGUUAACAUUUGUUUACAAGCUUCUGUACAAACAUCUGCUUUCAUUUCUCCUGAGAGAUACCUAAGAGCGGAAGUGCUGGGUCAUAAGCUGUGUCGCUGCCCUGCUCUGCCUCCAGCUCUCUCCCGAGUCCAGGAACACAGACAGAACCCACCGUGGGCCACAGCCUCAGCGCUAAUGUGAUCUGCAGCCUCUCCUGCCAGGAAGCAGUGUCCACCCACGCCUGUCUUCCAAGGAAAGUAGAAACUGCUUUCUAACUCCUAGGCCAAGGAGUUAACAGUCAGUUAACUCUGCCCUACUUGGUAACUUCUCAGGAAAGCUUGGUGAAGAACACGGAAUGUAUCCCGAUUCCUUCAGGAAAUCAUGCCUUGUUCACUUCUGAUCAACUUGCCAGGCAAAAAGGCAAGGAACGGCUGCAGGUUAAAACGACGUCCACUCCAGAGGAGGUGCCCAGAAGUGCUGAAG